GUGAUUCUUUCUAGUCUCCAUAACUAGAUCAGUGGGCCUCUAGUGUUCCUAUAUCUGGCUUUAUCGCCUGGUAUAGUUGAGCUUGAGCAUAACUGCCUAGAGCCCCUGACUUCAUCCUUGUCUUUGUGCACCUAUGUUUCCUCGGUGGGCUUGCCUGCCGACUGGACAAUCUAAAACCUUUGAAUUUUAAUCAGCGUCUGAAACAAACUUAAUAAUUACAACUUUCAACAACGGAUCUCUUGGUUCUGGCAUCGAUGAAGAACGCAGCGAAAUGCGAUAAGUAGUGUGAAUUGCAGAAUUCAGUGAAUCAUCCAAUCUUUGAACGCACAUUGCGCCCCUUGGUAUUCCAUGGGGCAUGCCUGUUCGAGCGUCAUUUGUACCCUCAAGCCUUGCUUGGUGUUGGGUGUUUGUCCUCUCUACAUGUUUGGACUCGCCUCAAAACAAUUGGCAGCUAAUGAAAUGGUUUUUGAGCGCAGCACAUUUUGCGCUUAUAGCUAUAUCAUUUGCAUCCAGUAAGCCUAUAUAUAACGCUUGACCUCGGAUCAGGUAGGGAUACCCGCUGAACUUAAGCAUAUCAAAGCCGGGAGGAAAAA
Molecule: ribosomal RNA, 593 nt
Filed under: fungal sp. LF5
Lineage: Eukaryota; Fungi
Description: eukaryotic LSU rRNA
Rfam family: 5.8S ribosomal RNA (bases 220-373)
Source: RNAcentral